Rana temporaria (common frog) is the source of this 773-nucleotide long non-coding RNA. RefSeq lists it as uncharacterized. Lineage: Eukaryota; Metazoa; Chordata; Amphibia; Anura; Ranidae. The record is from RefSeq and is a predicted model, not a curated record. The transcript is spliced from 3 exons.
UUUCUAUAUCAGCCCCAUAUAUCCUAAGCAUUCUGUAACACAUCUGUGUGCUCUUUGUCUGUUCUAUACACCCUUUGAUGUACAUUUGGCCUGAAACCAUGCUGAAAAUAUCCAAAGUAUUUACAACACUAGCUUCAAAAAGGAAAACCCGUUUGUUGAGCUCUGCACACAACUCUGAGCUCACCUGGAGGACUCCUAAUGACUUUGGGGGGAAGAAGGAGUUGAGUAGCUGUAACACAUGGGCUGAAGAGAAACCCGGAUGCUGAAGGAUUUUACGAUCUUUUUCCUGUGACCAACAAAGCGAAAUGGUGGCUGUAAAGCCAUAAAGAGGAGAACAGAGGAAAAGGGGUCGUUUAUUGCCCUGGUAUAACACCAACAGUCCCCUGAGUGCAGGCAACAGCUCAGAAAUAAAGUUUAAGCAAAAUAAAACGACCAUUUGAGGCAGAGAUUAGACAAGCAGUGCCUGGGACACCCUCCUGCAAGAAAAGGAAGUUGUUGUGUCAUCUGAAGAUGGAAGCUGAGCUGGAAAUGUGUGAAUUUCAAUUUUUUAUAAAGCUCCUAACUUACUACUCAUAUCUUGCAGCACAUUGAUUUGUGUUAUCAGAGGAAAUAACACAAGUGAUGUUUAUAGAUUCUAUUUUCCAAUCAUUUUUUAUUAUUUUCCAAUAAAAAAGGGGGGUAUACAAAACAUAGUGGGACUGACACAUAAGUAUAGUUUUAAAACUUUUAUUAUGUGACAUUUUGAUACAAUAAAGCCUACUUGUUGCAACUUU